CAGGGAGACAACAACUGAUCGUGAUGUCUGAGCUUAAUUUGUUCUCAGGCCAUGAUCCUGUCACCUUAGGUCGAUCGGUACCUCAAUUUGAUUUGCAAAGAGUAUGAGAAAUCUUCUUUUUUAAAAUCAGAAUCAGUUCCUAAACUUGUCUAGGUCACACCCAGCAAGGGUACUCCUGGGCUAUUAGCUCAGGUGGUUAGAGCGCACCCCUGAUAAGGGUGAGGUCCCUGGUUCAAGUCCAGGAUGGCCCAUUCGAUGUUGGGGGUAUAGCUCAGCUGGUAGAGCGCCUGCUUUGCAAGCAGGAUGUCAGCGGUUCGAGUCCGCUUACCUCCACUGAUCGAUUUCCUGAUUAGAACUUGAAGGAGAUUACCUUUGCCUGAGGAGACUUAGAAAACUGUUUUUUUGAAUGAGAACCUAGCUUCUUGUCAUUCGUUACUAAACAAUUAUUAGUUUGAUUGAUAAGAUGCUGGGCUCACUGCAAUUAAUGAUUGCAGAGAUGUUCAGUAGAACCUUGACAACUGCAUAGGUGAGUCUGGAAAGAAAAAAGCAUCUCAUGGAUGCAUUGUUUUUCAGUUAAAGCUAGGAUUUCUAGUUUUUGACUAAUGAAUAAUGUUUAAUUCUUGAGAAAGAGCCGAGACUCUAUAGUACUUAAUUCUAGGUGUAUUUAUAUGCAUCUACGAAGGUAGAUUUACCAGUAUCUAUAGAGAAAUAU
This 712-nucleotide transfer RNA is filed under the name uncultured cyanobacterium. RNAcentral describes it as "partial miscellaneous RNA". The stretch from base 261 to 333 matches the Rfam family "tRNA". Lineage: Bacteria; Bacillati; Cyanobacteriota. The record is from RNAcentral.